Long non-coding RNA from Pyrus x bretschneideri (Chinese white pear), 1656 nucleotides. RefSeq lists it as uncharacterized. The transcript is spliced from 8 exons. Lineage: Eukaryota; Viridiplantae; Streptophyta; Magnoliopsida; Rosales; Rosaceae. The record is from RefSeq and is a predicted model, not a curated record.
CCUAUACUGCAAAGCGAAAAUUGUAAAGAUCGCCAUUUGUCCUUCAGUUUUGUAUUCAUGCAGAGACUUGAAAGCGUUUAACACCUGCUCAAAAUUCCAAACCUUCAGAUCAAGAUGCAGAGCACUGCGCUUGCUGUGUCUCCUUCCACCUCGUUUCUCAAACCUCCGUGUCGAAACUCUUUUCUUAAUGCCUCUCAGCUUUCACCCUCAACGUCCUUCAUACAAGUUGACAAUCUGACUAAAGUUCAAAGGCUUUCAUAGCAAACAGCUCUUUACACUUUUCUUAUUCCAAUGCUUCCUUCAUUUUCUCGAAUCGUAGAUAUGAUAAUUUGAAGGUCAGGGCUGCUUCUGUGCCCGAGAGUGCUGAUGAGGCCUCGAAACAGAGUGGGUUGGUCAAGACCUUGCAGCUUGGUUCAAUGUUCGGAAUUUGGUACCUUUUGAAUAUUUACUUCUACAUCUACAGCAAACAGAAGCUAGAAUUUGAAGGCCAGAGCUUGUUCAUAGAUUCUGAAAGUAUCCAUUCCCAGCAACGGUCACCGUGUUUCAGUUUGGCUGAGGGACUGUGAUGAUUAUCCUGAUGUGGGCUCUUAACCUCUACCCCAGACCAAAUCUCACUCGGUCACAGCUUGCGGCAGUUCUACCUUUGGGUGUGGCACACAGUCGGAAACUUAUUGACUAACAUUAGCCUUGGGAAAGUUUCAGUUUCCUUCACUCACACAAUCAAGGCCAUGGAGCCCUUGUUCACAGUUGGAUUCUCUGCUCUUUUGCUUGCUGAGCUUUCUGAUCAGGCUGACUGCUGAUUGCUGUCCACACAAAGGCCGAGUAUUUGGGUGGUUUCUUCUCUUGUACCGAUUGUAGGUGGAGUGGCAUUGGCAUCCUUCACCGAGGCCUCUUUUAAAUGGAUCGGUUUCGGUAGUGCAAUGGCCUCUAAUGUUACAAACCAAUCACGUAAUGUACUCAACAAGAAGUUCAUGGUUAAAAAAAGAGGAAUCUUUGGACAAUAUCAAUCUCUUCUCAGUGAUCACUAUCAUUUCCUUCAUCCUGUUGGUUCCUUUGGCAAUUCUAUUGGAAGGCGUUAAAUUUACUCCUUCUUACCUGCACUCUGCUGUGGAUACUAUUGCUAAGCGCUUCCCAAAAAAGCAGUUAGAAGUGCUUCCUCAAGUAGCUAGUUUUUCUGUACACAUUGCUGUAUAAUUGAUAAUAUUACAUGUAUACCAGGCAAACCAAGGAUUGAAUAUCAAAGAGUUAUGCGUAAGAUCACUUCUGGCUGGCUUCUGCUUCCACACUUGACACCACAGUUUCCUACUCUCUCUAAAUUAAACCGAAAAUUGAAGUCUCUUAUAUGAUACUGCAGAUGGUAUCACCAGUGACUCACGCAGUCGGAAACUGUAUGAAGCGUGUGGUGGUGAUAGUCUCCUCAGUCAUCUUCUUCCAAACCCCCGUCUCACUGAUAAACGCACUCGGGACAGCUUUGUACUAGAUCUCGCAGGAGUGUUCUUGUAUUCAAGAGCCAAGAGACUCAAGGCAAAGCCCAAUUAGUGAUGCAUGAAUUGUAAAUAUAUAAGGACAAUGCUUGUGUCUCUACAGGAUUUACUUGUUUCCCUACUUAUGAAGUAUAAUUAACGAAUAUUUACCAUCUGAACACCAUAAACGAAA